This is a non-coding RNA of Podarcis lilfordi (Lilford's wall lizard), 588 nucleotides long. NCBI's taxonomy places the organism in Eukaryota, Metazoa, Chordata, Lepidosauria, Squamata, Lacertidae. The record is from the annotation of a GenBank genome assembly.
AGUCGGUCAACUGGUGCCAAAGAGGGACAGAACUUUCUUUAUGUAUGCCACAACAGCAGCAAGAAUACUCAUUGCAAAGUAUUGGAAGACACAAGAUCUACCCACCUUGGAAGAAUGGCAGAUGAAGGUGAUGGACUAUAUGGAGUUGGCGGAAAUGACUGGUAGAAUCCGAGACCAGGGAGAAGAGUCGAUGGAGGAAGAUUGGAAAAAGUUUAAAGACUAUCUACAGAAAUAUUGUAAAAUUAAUGAAUGCUAGAAUGAUGUUGGAUAGAAACUAAGUGAACUUUAGCUGAAAGGUUACAAGGAAUAUGAAAAAAUGGAUUAUUAAUAUGUAAAAAUCUAAAAUUACAAUACUUUAUGAUAAUGAUUAGGAUACAUAAAGAGGGGAGGGAUUUGCUGAACGAAAUAAUUGAACUGGAAUACAAAAAAGGGAGGUGUGAGGAGGUCCGGGAACUAAGCAAAUGAAGGUUAAGUAAUGGAAGGAAUGAUUUGUUUUUAAAUAUUUUUACUUUGCAUUUUCUUUUGUGUGUGUGUGUGUGUGUGUGUGUGUGUUUUGUAAUAUCUUGAAAACUUCAAUAAAUAUCUUAU